GUUGUGGGGAAUGUUGUUUGGAUCGAGGAUAUCAUAAACGCAUACACAUGUUUAUAUGUUAUGAUGCAUUAUAUGAUUGUGUAAUGUACAUAUAUAUAUACAUGGUAUCGUCGGACCAGGCUUCAUCCCCCUCAAC
This 136-nucleotide microRNA precursor is filed under the name Arabidopsis thaliana x Arabidopsis arenosa. RNAcentral's name for it is "mir-166". It matches the Rfam family "mir-166 microRNA precursor family". From Rfam's summary of the family: This family represents the plant microRNA (miRNA) precursor mir-166. Lineage: Eukaryota; Viridiplantae; Streptophyta; Magnoliopsida; Brassicales; Brassicaceae. The record is from RNAcentral.